This 3691-nucleotide long non-coding RNA is filed under the name Homo sapiens (human). RNAcentral describes it as "HSALNT0168496". Lineage: Eukaryota; Metazoa; Chordata; Mammalia; Primates; Hominidae. The record is from RNAcentral.
GCAGAAAAAAGUCUUACAUUUCUGAUGCUUUAUAAAAACCUGAAAUUCUGAGUGAUCUUAUCCUUUCAUUUCUGUCUUUGCCUCGCAUAUUCAUUAUAGGAAAAUUCCAAAUGGUAGUGAAAAGUACAAAAAGAACUUGAAAAUGACUCAUAAUUUCAACACUUGUUUUCUUCUUUUGCUUUUAGUUCAUAAAAUGAAGAAUAAAAGUCUACCUUCCUCCAUGUCUCCAAAGAUACUGCCUAGUCAAUUACAUGGGCUUCCUUUCACACUUACAUCAAGGCCAAGAGUAAACUGUUCCAAGCACAAUGCAACAGCCUGUUUCUUUUGAAGCAAAUAAAAUAGGAGCAUCGUUUUCAAUCUUUUUUUUUUUUAAUUUUGCCUGAAAAGUGACAGGAUAAGAAUUAGGCUAAAGAGAGAAGCAUGAAGAAACCUUUUCUUCCAGAAGGCUGAACAGCACUGCAUUAACAAUACACUUCCUGAUGGGUGAAGAAACUAAACUGAGAAGAACUAAAUUACUUGCUCAUAGUUAACCAGCUAUUAUGUGGCAGAGCAGAGAAUCAAGGCAACUACCAUUUAUGGAAGGUCAGCUGUAGACCAGAGACACUGUUCUACAGUGUCUGUUACAGAUCUCUUGCCUAAUCCUCAAAGCAGUCCAUGUGAAAUAGAUAUUAUUGGGCCUAUUUUAAACAUAAGAAAACUGAACUCAGUGAGAUUAUGUGACUUGUUCAAGAUCACAUGCCUGAUAAGUCUAAGUCAGGAUCAGCUACCCAGUGGUUGUCAAACUCUAAGGCACAUCACAAUCCCAGAGAGCCUGCUAAAAUACAGAUUUCAGGGCCCCACACCUAGGGAUUCUGAUUCAAUGAGUUAAAGGAUCUGCAGUUCUAACAAGCUCCCUGAGGAUACUCAUGAUGCUGGUCUGGGCACCACACUUUGAAUAACCUUGAGCUGCACCGUGCAACCUAUUCAUUGCUUCCUAGGAAUCCAGACAUCCUGACUCCUAGUUCUAUGAUCUGUCCACUACAACAUACUGCAGUUUAUUCUAACCUCUAAACUAACCAGACAAAAGACAGUAUUGUGUAUAUGUUUGUAAAUAUACGUAUUUUCUUUUAAGCAGUCGAUAUGACAUGUGGUCGUUCUCAGUUUUUUUAUGAACUGACAUUAUAUAGAAAAUUUAAUUGUCAAGAAAACCAUUAGAUGAAAACAUUUUAGAAACCUUUCAUCAGGGUUUAUUAUUAUUAUUAUUAUUAUUAUUAUUUUUUUGAGACAGAGUCUUUCUCUGUCACCCAGGCUGGAGUGCAGUAGUGCAAUCUCAGCUCACUGCAACCUCCGCCUCCCAGGUUCCAGCGAUUGUCGUACCUCAGCCUACCUAGUAACUGGGAUUACUGGCAUGCGCCACCACACCCGGCUAAUUUUUGUAUUUUUAGUAGAGACAGGGUUUUGCCAUGUUGGCCAGGCUGUUCUCAAACUCCUGGCCUCAAGUAAUCUACCAGCCUCAGCCUCCCGAAGUGCUGUGAUUAUAGGCAUGAGCCACUAUGCCUGGCCCAAGGUUUGUUAUUAAAGUUCUAGUCAUCCCUGGAAAUAAACAUUAUAAGUCCAAUUUUGUUGUAAAUAGCCCAUGUAGGGGAAAAAAGACAAUUGUGUGUGUUAUGGACACUCUGGAAUCAUGUAUUACAAAAUAAGCUCCCAGAAAUCGCAUUUACAAAUUUCAAUUUUGCUUCAGGGAAGAUUGACUUCUUACUCAGCUGAUAUUUAUACUUGGAAGAUCUGCAUUGAAGCAUUACUUAAUGAUAACAUUAAUUAUAAUAUUUAUAAGACGUCUUUCCAUGAGGCAUUCAAAUAACUGCAGUCAUGUAAUCUUUUUCUCAGUGUGGGCUCAAGAAACAGAUGGAAUUAUCAACUCUGCCUUAGAGAUGACAAGCCUGUGGUUCCACACAGACCUCAGGUGUCUUGGUGAAGGUCAUUCACAGAAAGAACCUAAGCCUUGGGAAUCCCAGCUCAGCAUAGCCAUGGUUACAUAACUGCUCUUUAACAGAUGCAGUCUCUCCACUGUGGGGUCAGGGAAACAGUGGUAAGACUCAAGCCAACUAGUGUGGUUACUUGGUAACAGCUUAGCUAAAAGGCUAGAAGAGAGAGGAGAAUCAAGCUAUUGGAUAAAAUUAAAUGAUUGCUUUGAAUUACACAUUUCUCUCUUAUUUCCCAGCACCAUAGAAAAAUAGGAGUUGGCAUUUGUUCUUUAUGGCUUAUCAAAUCUGACCUGGGAGAACCUACUACAGCUUCCGAAAAUGGAUGUUUUAUUAAAAUAGCUUAAGUUUAAUGUAUCACAUUUGCACAAUAACAAUUAGGAGGCAGUUCAUUUUCAAAUAGUGAGGGCUCUAUGAGUACUUACUCAAUUAAAAUGAUAAUUUAAUUAUCUUCAAUUGCCAUAUAUGAUUGGGGGAAUCUAUUUAAAGUUUUUGCCCCAUCCCCACUGUUCUUCCCUUUGCCUUCUUUUUAAAAUACCACAUAUUCCUGGUGAGUAUUCAUUUUGCCCUGUUCAAGGGUGAUACAUCAACUUACUGAUCUCCCCGGAAUGUUCAUUUCAUGGAUGAAUGAAAAUAGUGAUGCUCAUUGUAUUUCAGGUGCUUUACCCCAUCUAAAUGAUGAGCAGCUUUAUGAGUAGGGGAACUUAGAAUUGUGUUAUUAUUCAGAUCUCCACAGUUACUAGAAAGCCUGAGUAACAUUCAGGAAGUUCCAAAAUCCAGGCUUUAUGUUGUUGGGAGUCCCUAUUUAUCAGGAGCCUGGGCCAGUCCCUGGAGGCCCAGGAACAGCCUGGAGGCAAAUGCAUAGGUACAGCAUUGUGUCUGAAUUUAGGAUGAGGAGGCUCAGUCCUCAGGCUUUGGUGAAAACCCCCCUUAAUUCUGGUCACUCUUAAAGAUACCCCACUAAUACUGACUGGUACAGGCUUCCAUCGUAUUGAAUGUGUGCCACGCGCCUAGCACAGCCCCUGGCCCAUCAUAAGCACUCAAAUAUUAGCCAUCAUUUUGCAUUCUUUUAAGACCAUGCAUCUUCUCCUACUUCUAAUCAAGUUUCCACUGCUGCAACAUAGACGUCCUCAGGUUUCUCCCCUGCUCAAAAACGUUCAGUGACUAUUAGUUCCACCAGUGCUUCUCAAAGUGUAUCAGAAUCACCUGGGUUUUUUUUUUGCACAAUUGCAGAUUUUCAGGCUUUACUCCAAACCUACUGUAUUAGACCCUUGAGGAGUUGGGUCUGGGAAUUUGAAUUUAUUAACAAGCUCCACAAGUGUUUCUUACAUACUCUACCAAUAAUUUGAGAUUCCCCGACAUGUUGCACAGUAUGCACAUACCUUUACAUGGCAUUUAUUACCCCUUAAAACCUGGCCCCAACCAUCCAUCCAGUCUUAUUGCCUGCCAUACAGUAUUAUUGACACUCCCUUAUCAGGAAAACUUGUGAAAGACUUUGAAAUGAGAAAAAAACAUCCUGGAUGUGGAUAUUGUAUCUAUCAUACCAUUGUGGGUUAUAUCUGCCUUUCAUUGUGUUUGAGUUAUUUUAUAAUUCUGUUAGUUGUAGAAAAAUUGGUAAUGAUGCAAACAAUUCCUUCUGUAGAAAAGCAACUGAAUUUUGUUAUGUGAAAUGCAACUGAUUAUUUCUCUGUGGAUAAAUCAGUUUACAUCUACUUUUAAAUUCAUUUCAG